CUAGAACCUUGGCUAACCGCCGCGACGACCUCUAACUUCGUAUUUUAAUCUUUGGGCUGCUUAACGAAGCUGCCCUUUUCCCUGACUAUAUCUUAGCCUUCUCGGAUCCCAGUCGUCUCGACCAAAGGGAGCUCCGAGCUUAGGUUUCUAGAAAAUUUCUCUAAGUCCUAUAACUCGGAUCUUAGAGUCGUGGGAGUUGCCACGUUUGGCCUUUAGGAAAAUCUUAAGGCACCGAGGUCGGGCCUUAGCCCUUCAAGUGGGACCGGAAUAGGUCUAUUCGUACCGCUAUUCGGAGAGUUUAGUCGGGUUUCCGAACUCAACUCCGAACCUCUCAUAGGGAGCGUGGGCUAAUAAACAAGUUAUUGCCGAAGGUUUUCAUAGUUAUCGUCCUCGGACCCUGCCGAGAUUUCGGUGAACAAGGCUGGGAUUCCCAAAGAUCGCCUUGGUACCUGUGCUUGGCUGGUACAUUCGUGGCCGAGACCACUUUUCCAGCUGGACGUCGGAGUUUACUUAGAAGAGCCGAGUUGGGUCCUACUUUAUGAAGCCUUAGUACGGAUUACGGAGACUUGACGAACAGAGCAGGCAUAAUGAGGUUGGGAGGUCGGUCUUAAGCCGACCCAGCGAAGAAGCCCGGCUUUGGGGCAAAAUAAGACUCCAACAUUGGACGAGAUCGGCAAUAUGUAGAUAAAAUUUGACAAGGAGGGCGUCUAGUUGGGUGUACCUCUUGCAUUCUCGGGGUCAUGCUUCGCAUGGUGGAGUAGGUCGCUUCCCUUCCUCGUCGACCUCCGGAGUCAUUUUUG
RNAcentral lists this long non-coding RNA (800 nucleotides) under Phoenix dactylifera (date palm). RNAcentral describes it as "long non-coding RNA (PDAC_LNC015277)". Lineage: Eukaryota; Viridiplantae; Streptophyta; Magnoliopsida; Arecales; Arecaceae. The record is from RNAcentral.